AAGUCGGUAACAAGGUUUCCAAGUAGGUGGAACCUGCGGAACGGAUGCAUUAAUGAGAUGGCAGUGCCCUUCGGGUAGACCUCCCACCCCCUGUUUACCGUACCCGUUGCUUUGGCGGUCCCGUCGCAAGACGGGCCGCCAGAGGGACCUUUAAAACCCGUAUUAUCAUUGUCGUCUGAGUACUAUACAAUAGUUAAAA
This 199-nucleotide unclassified non-coding RNA is filed under the name plant metagenome. RNAcentral's name for it is "partial contains small subunit ribosomal RNA and internal transcribed spacer 1". The record is from RNAcentral.